This 5670-nucleotide long non-coding RNA is filed under the name Oreochromis niloticus (Nile tilapia). Its description in RNAcentral is "lncRNA (ENSONIG00000032052.1)". The record is from RNAcentral. Lineage: Eukaryota; Metazoa; Chordata; Actinopteri; Cichliformes; Cichlidae.
UUUGGCUAAUUUCUCCCCUCUGGCAUGGUUAUUUUGCUGGCCCGUUGGCCAUUGACCGUGAUUUUCAAAUGGCAACUGUUAUUACUAAAGAAACUUAUCAUAUUUUGUUUUUUAGUGAAGUGGCUUUGGGCUGCAAAAGACACCGGGCGUGUGGAGGCAGCCGUUGGGCCAUACAAAUUGUAUGACUCUUCUUUUCGCACACUGGAGGACAGUGGGUGGCUUUCUGAUGAGGUAAGUGAAGUAAUCAUUUUUGGUCCUAGUGGUGGUCUGUAAAAAUAACCUUCUGUUAAUCCAAACAGGUCAUUGAUGCAUACCUGCACUGCCUCAUUAGGAAACAAAAGGCAAGUAAGAACGUAUGCCGGUUAUUUCACAAAAGCAUUUUAUACAAUUAUGUAAUCUUUUAAAAAAAACUCUUGCAUUUUUCAGAAACCCAUGUAUCAGUUGUCUUGCGUUGUUGCAACCUCUCUGUUUUCUGGGAAGUUUAAAUGUGUCACCAAGGUAAUGUAGAUGUUAUAUAGGUCAUAUAGUGCAUGUUAUGUAAAUGAAUCUAAACCUUUAUAAACUUAAAAAUAUUCCACAGAUGUUGUUUCCGGCUGAGGACAUUUGGUUGUGCCCACUGAACUUCGGUGCACACUGGAUCCUUGUGGUACAUUGUUCUUUUUAGCAGCAUAUUCUUAUUUUGAAAAUGCUUACAACUGAUUAUGUUUACUUAAGUUAGUGUACUACACAUAUUCUACUAAAUACAAUUUUUAUUUUAGGUUGUCAAAAUCUCCACACGAUCUGUACUGCUGUUAGACCCUCUUGGAAAUGAAGGUUGUUAUGAAAGGAAAAUUAUGCGUAACUGGAGGAAUUUUCUGAAGAUGAAAGGAAAGGAAGAGUCCCGAGUGGAUUGGAAAAUGGAGACUGCCACACAACAAGCAGAUGGACUCCAGCAGUUGUGGAGUUUUAGUGUUGAAGUUUGCCGAACACUACCUUAUGAGUGGAGAGGUUACUAGGGUGCUGUCCACUCCAGAAGCCAUUGGGCUGCAACGCACAGAAAUUGCUUGCGAACUGCUAGAACAUCAAAGUAAUGCUGAUGACUACUGUGUGGUUUGUUCCAUGCUGGAAGCCGAUCCUGAGUCCAGUAUGAUUGAAAUGGUAAAACAAAUAAACCACAAAUGCAAUAUACAGUUGCUUGCAACAUUAUUUGGCCCCCUUGAACUUUUCCACAUUUUGUGAUAUUACAGCCACAAACACGAAUCAAUUUUAAUUGUAAUUCCCCGUGAAAGACCAAUACAAAGUGGUGUAUACGUGAGGAGUGGAACGACAGUCGUACAUGAUUCCAAACAAUUUUUACAAAUGAAUAACUGAAAAGUGGGGUGUGCGUAAUUAUUCAGCCCCCUGAGUCAAUACUUUGUAGAACCACCUUUAUCUGCAAUUACAGCUGCCAGACCUUUAGGGUAUGUCUCUACCAGGUAGAGACGUUGUUCUUUCACGUGGAAUUCCAAUAAAAUUGAUUCAUGUUUGUGAAUGCAAUCUGACAAAAUGUGGAAAACUUCAAGGGGGCCGAAUACUUUUGCAAGCCACUGUAGUAAUUAUUUUCUCAUGAAAUUCGUAAUGUUGGUUAACACACUUACACCCCCCCCUACCCCCCCUUCUCCCUCUUCAGGUGCAGUGUGAGUUUUGUCUCAGAUGGGCACAUUUUGGAUGUGCUCAAUAUGAGAGCAGCCUGGUCAAGUACUUGUGCGACAAAUGUGCAUAAUUGUUAUGAAUACCACUUCUUUCUCCCUGUGUUCUGUUGGAUCUGUAAAUAUCAAAUAUAUAUAUAUAUAUAUAUAUAUCUGUAAAUAUAUUCAGUAAAUAUAUACUGUAACUAUAAUGGAGUGAGUUCAUUGUCAAAGUUUAUAUAGUCAGAUGUUCCAAUCACUUCAAUGGUGACAGCUGUAUAACUUAAGCACCUUGGCAUGCAGACUGCUUCUACAAACAAGUGCCAAACCAUGCUACCUUUGUUAUUAUAAACUAGAAGCAUACUCUGACGGGAAGAAUUACGUGCCAAACCAUGCUACCUUUGUUAUUAUAAACUAGAAGCAUACUCUGACGGGAAGAAUUACGUGCCAAAACAUGCUACCUCUGUUAUUAUAAACUAGAAGCUUACUCUGACGGGAAGAAUUACGUGCCAAAACAUGCUACCUCUGUUAUUAUAAACUAGCAUACUCUGACGGGAAGAAUUACGUGCCAAACCAUGCUACCUUUGUUAUUAUAAACUAGAAGCAUACUCUGACGGGAAGAAUUACGUGCCAAACCAUGCUACCUUUGUUAUUAUAAACUAGAAGCAUACUCUGACGGGAAGAAUUACGUGCCAAAACAUGCUACCUCUGUUAUUAUAAACUAGAAGCAUACUCUGACGGGAAGAAUUACGUGCCAAAACAUGCUACCUUUGUUAUUAUAAACUAGCAUACUCUGACGGGAAGAAUUACGUGCCAAACCAUGCUACCUUUGUUAUUAUAAACUAGAAGCAUACUCUGACGGGAAGAAUUACGUGCCAAAACAUGCUACCUCUGUUAUUAUAAACUAGAAGCAUACUCUGACGGGAAGAAUUACGUGCCAAAACAUGCUACCUUUGUUAUUAUAAACUAGAAGCAUACUCUGACGGGAAGAAUUACGUGCCAAAACAUGCUACCUCUGUUAUUAUAAACUAGAAGCUUACUCUGACGGGAAGAAUUACGUGCCAAACCAUGCUACCUUUGUUAUUAUAAACUAGAAGCAUACUCUGACGGGAAGAAUUACGUGCCAAACCAUGCUACCUUUGUUAUUAUAAACUAGAAGCAUACUCUGACGGGAAGAAUUACGUGCCAAAACAUGCUACCUUUGUUAUUAUAAACUAGAAGCAUACUCUGACGGGAAGAAUUACGUGCCAAACCAUGCUACCUUUGUUAUUAUAAACUAGAAGCAUACUCUGACGGGAAGAAUUACGUGCCAAACCAUGCUACCUUUGUGAAUGUGACCUACAAGCACACUUUAAUGGGUAAAAAGAAGUGUCAAACCGUACUGGCUUUAUGAAUAUCAGCUACAAACAUACUCUGAUGGGCAAAGUUAAGUGGCAAACCGUCAUACCUACUUAAAUUUGUACUGGAAUUAUUGUGUGGCAGCAGAAAUGUGCAUAAAUUACGUACAGUAGGACAUUUUGCCAAAGUAGGGCAGUUUGUCAUAAGGCAGCGUAAAAUUAUCCUACUGGUAGGACGGUUUGCCAAAGUAGGACGUUUUGUCAGAGGACACCGUAAAAUUUUCCUACAGGUAGGACGUUUUGUCAGAACACCGGCGUAUGUUUACCAGCCAUUGUCUUCUCAAGUCGGAAUGGGUCGGAAAGCCAUGAAAACUUAGUAUGCCGUUAAAUUUGGCUGAAGCCGAACAAAGUGGGACACAGCAAUGCUCGGAGUAUUUCUUCUCCUGUUUUUGAAAAUGUUCUGUUUUAAAUACUUUCCUUUUUAUACUCAUUCUGAAGUGACAUUAGCGUACCUACCGAUAGAUAAACAAACAUACCGGAAACGCCCAAGCGGUAGUAUUUGGAAACGGAAAUACGUCACAUGCCCUAGUGCAAGUAGUCCAUUUUGCCGCAGACGGCAGAAGCGGAGCGGCCGAAGAGUAAACUGUGAAAAGUAAGUACUGAAUAUUAUGUCACUUAUUUAUGUGCAAAUGUUUAAUAAUGAGGAACAUUAAAACAUUACUGUUGGCCACAUGUCGGCAAAGUUAUGUGCUAUUAGCGAUGUUUGUACUGUCAGCGUUAACUUAGUUUUAAAGCCUCUACUUUAAAAUAUACGCCGUUCAAUAGUUGACCUUAAUCCUACAGAGAAUGUGAUGAUUUUAUGGAUAAUUAAAGUCAGUCAUAUAUCCACAAACACAACAAGCUGAAAGUCAGUGAUGCUGCUCGGUUUGCAGUCCUGAAUAUGACGGCACAAGCAGGAUUCACUGCACUGUUAAUGUUAGCUAUGUUAUAUUGCUGCCUCUGUUCGGUGGUGUGGAGCCAAACGGACUUUAACGUGUGUUUGAACGAGCUGACGGUUCACUCGUUAAGCUGAAAGAAAGAUGCUUUAACCCUUAGAUCAGAGGUUCCCAAAGUGUGGGCCCCGCCCCCUAGACGGGGCGCAGAGGCAUUGCAGGGGGGGGCGCGGUAUGAAAAAAAAAAAAAGAGCGCUUGGACACUGUGGACAGGUUUUUGACGGAGCUCCCACACAAACGCAAAGCAGGAGAUGAAGCAUCGCCAAAUAUGUUUCCAAACCAACUUCCUUCCAAGCCAAAGACUAGAAAACAUGGUGAAGCAUAUCUUCCCUUUGGCUUCACCUGCACAAGUGCCAAGGUAGGUCUCCCCUGCAAAAUUAGUUUCCCUGCGUCGGGAGCAGCGCUGGGCUCUCCAAAUCACGGACAAACAGUAUCCCACAGCUGUGUAUGUGUUUAAACCCAUUUUGCACAGAGAGACAUUUUUUGAAAAAUGUAUUGACAGCAAUGUUGAAUAUUAUUACACAGGAAAAAAAACAACUACACGUAAAAUAAUUACACCGUGACGCCUCUGCCUUUCUAAAUGCAGGGACAGUAACUGCGUGUGUAUAUGUGUAGCAGCGGCCAGUAAUAAACCAGUCGUCAUAAAAGAACAGUGCUCUUUAAUGAAUUCACAAACUUACAUCAAAGAGGUAGCAGUGACACACAUCACUUAUCAGCUAGCCAUCUAACUCUAUUCUAACGCUUAACUUUUACAGACUCUGCUUUACUCUUAUUUUGCGACACCACCCUCUAGUGGUGCAAUAUGAUAUAAACAUUACAGAACACAACAUCUCCUCUCUCUUUAUAAAAAGAGUUCACCAAAUAGCGUAGUACAGAAAUAAAGUAAUUCACUGUUUAGCAAAUCAAACAUACACUGGUGAACUUAAAUGUCGCAAUAGUUAUAACAUCAGAAUACUACAACUAGAAAAGCUAAAUAAGCCUGAAAUUGUAAAAUGAAAAGAAAUUAUUCCAGUUUUUCCAUUACAAUUUUUUCUUAGUGCAUUGGUGGCAGGAAAUCAGUUCGUCUUAAACCCGAAAUAGAACAAGUAAUGACAUUUCUCUAAUGUCCUUUUUCAAGCAACAUAUUAUGGUACAAUAUAGUCUUUGUGCCAGCGAGGUUUGUACUUGACGCAUGGCAGUCUUCUGGCAGUAGGUGAGCCAGCCUGAGUGUGGUGCAACCUAGCAGUGUCAGCGUUCUUUUCAGUCACCGGGCGACAGCGUGCUAGAUGAGUGGCAUUCCAAAUCUUUCCAUCACUCAGCAAGAAGGCAUUCGAGCCUUUGGCUUUUGUUACUGUUACAGGAGGGGUAAAUCUGGGAUGUCCUUUAGGAACAUGGUGGGGUUUCCUUAUCCUCACACUCCCUCCUGGUAGAAAAGAAGGUUUCCGUGCGUGACGCCUACCAUCAGUGUAACGUUGCAUUUUCAACUGAGAUUUCUGAACUGAUGUCCCCGUGGUCCCAGCUCCUACAUUUGUUCCACUUUUAACAGUAAUACACAAAACUCUGGACUCAGACCUCUCUCUCCCACAGUCAACACAAUACCCGUCAUAAUCACAAACAGAGAGCAACACAAUUAUCAUAAAUCCAGUAACUUCAAAAACAUUAAUAACCUCCGGCCUCUUCAAAAAUCUCAGACUUCAUUGAACUCUACUGUCAAAA